AAGCAUUUUGAUAAACUUUUCUCCUGCUCUAAAGUUUGCCUUGGUCUUUUCUUCUACCUUAUGCCCCUCAGUUGAAUUCUUUCUUCUGAGGCGGCAGGAAUUGACUUUGCUGAUAUAUUUCGGUGCGCUGUGACUCGGAUAACUUUCACCGCUAACAUACAUUGGCACUGCUUGACUGGGAUCCAUGCCCUAAUGGUAUUGUGAUAAAUAGACACUUAUCUCAAGCAAUUCUUACAUCAAACAUUAUGAAGUAGAAACAUUCCAUGCUCAUGGACGGGAAGAAUCAAUAUCGUGAAAAUGGCCAUACUGCCCAAAUAAAUUUAUAGAUUCAAUGCCAUCCCCAUCAAGCUACUAUUUACUUUCUUCACAGAACCAGAAAAAACUACUUUAAAUUUCAUAUGGAAUCAAAAAAGAGCCUGUGUAGCCAAGACAAUCCUAAGCAAAAAGAACAAAGCUGGAGGCAUCAAGCUGCCUGACUUCAAACUAUACUACAAGGCUACAGUAAUCAAAGCAGCAUGGUACUGGUAUCAAAACAGAUAUAUAGACCAAUUGAACAGAACAGAGGCCUCCGAAAUAACACAACAUAUCUACAACCACCUGAUCUUUGACAAACCUGACAAAAAUAAGCAAUGGGGAAAGGAUUCCCUAUUUAAUAAAUGGUGCUGGGAAAACUGGCUAGCCAUAUGCAGAAAACAGAAACUGGACCCCUUCCUUACACCUUAUACAGAAAUUAACUCAAGAUGGAUCAAAAACUUAAAUGUAAAACCUAAAACUAUAAAAACCCUAGAAGAAAACCUAGGCAAUACUAUUCAGGACUUAGGCAUGGACAAAGAUUUCAUGACUAAAUUGCCAAAACCAAUUGCAAUAAAAGGCAAAAUUGACAAAUAGGAUCUAAUUAAACUAAAGAGCUUCUGCUCAGCAAAAUAAACUAUCUCAGAGAGAACACUCAAUCUAAAGAAUGGGAGAAAAUUUGUGCAAUCUAUCCAUCUGACAAUGGUCUAAUAUCCAGCAUCUACAAGGAACUUAAACAAAUUUACAAGAAAAAAACACACAACCCCACCAAAAAGUGGGCAAAGGAUAUGGACAGACUCUUCUCAAAAUAAGGCAUUUGUGAAGCUAACAAACAAAUGAAAAAAAAAGCUCACCAUCACUGGUCAUUAAAGAAAUGCAAAUCAAAACCAAAAUGAAGAUACCAUGUCACGCCAGUUAGAAUGGUGAUCAUUAAAAAGUCUGGAAACAACAGAUGCUGGCGAGUAUGCGGAGAAAUAGGAACACUUUUACACUGUGGAUGGGAGUGUAAAUACUUUAACCAUUGUGGAAGACAGUGUGGUGAUCCCUCAAGGAUGUAGAACCAGAAAUACCAUUUGACCCAGCAAUCCCAUUACUGAGUAUAUACCCAAAGGAUUAUUAAUCAUUCUACUAUAAAAAGACACAUGCACACGUGUGUUUAUUUUACAGCACUAUUUACAAUAGCAAAGACUUGGAACCAACCCAAAUGCCCAUCAGUGAUGGACUGGAUAAAGAAAAUGUGGCACAUAUACACCAUGGAAUACUAUGCAUCCAUAAUAAAGAAUAAGUUUAUGUCCUUUUCAG
Molecule: long non-coding RNA, 1593 nt
Filed under: Homo sapiens (human)
Lineage: Eukaryota; Metazoa; Chordata; Mammalia; Primates; Hominidae
Description: HSALNT0284347
Source: RNAcentral